GGUGGAGCGGAACGAGGACGACGUCGAGCCAGCCCGACGACGAGCUAACGUUCGGGGAACGUGACGAUUCCUAAUUGUCUAAUUCCCGGGCGCGCGAUGCGCGAAUUGAUUGGCAAUCCGAAAGGUACGCUUAUUAAACACAGGCGUUAGCUUUACUGCUAGAGAAAUACGCACGAUCCUCAGAUGUCUUCUGGAAUCAAAUUAUGCUGCAUCAUUGGAGAACGCAUCAUAGAAUAAACAAAGACGGUGAGAAGAACGGUUCGAGAAGGGUCGAACAGAUGACAGUUGGAGCCAAGAAAAGGGGAAA
Molecule: long non-coding RNA, 307 nt
Filed under: Polistes fuscatus (common paper wasp)
Lineage: Eukaryota; Metazoa; Arthropoda; Insecta; Hymenoptera; Vespidae
Description: uncharacterized LOC122514509, transcript variant X1
Source: RNAcentral